RNAcentral lists this unclassified non-coding RNA (355 nucleotides) under uncultured Hypholoma. RNAcentral's name for it is "sequence contains ITS1". The stretch from base 1 to 105 matches the Rfam family "5.8S ribosomal RNA", at positions 50 to 154 of the family's 154-position model. The record is from RNAcentral. Lineage: Eukaryota; Fungi; Basidiomycota; Agaricomycetes; Agaricales; Strophariaceae.
GAAAUGCGAUAAGUAAUGUGAAUUGCAGAAUUCAGUGAAUCAUCGAAUCUUUGAACGCACCUUGCGCUCCUUGGUAUUCCGAGGAGCAUGCCUGUUUGAGUGUCAUUAAAUUCUCAACCUUUGUAAUUUUUUACAAAUGGCUUGGAUGUGGGAGUUUUGCUGGUUUACUUUAUUGAAACGAGCUCUCCUGAAAUGCAUUAGCUGGUUGCCUUGUGUGAACCUGUCUAUUGGUGUGAUAAUUAUCUACGCCGUGGAUGGUUUGCCGCCUUGUAGCAAUGCUUCUAAUCGUCUGUUCAUUCGGACAAUUUUAUGACAAUUUGACCUCAAAUCAGGUAGGACUACCCGCUGAACUUAA